AGCAGCCGCGGUAAUUCCAGCUCCAAUAGCGUAUAUUAAAGUUGUUGCAGUUAAAAAGCUCGUAGUUGAACUUCAGGCCUGUCCAGAUGGUCCGCCUUAAUUGGUGUGUACUGUCCUUGGGUGGGUCCUACCUUCUGGCGAAGCGGCAUGGCCUUAAUUGGUUGUGUCGGGGAACCAGGACUUUUACUGUGAAAAAUUAGAGUGUUCAAAGCAGGCAAAUAUGCUCGAAUACAUUAGCAUGGAAUAAUGGAAUAGGACGAUGGUUCUAUUUUGUUGGUUCUAGGACCGUUGUAAUGAUUAAUAGGGAUAGUUGGGGGCAUUAGUAUUCAAUUGUCAGAGGUGAAAUUCUUGGAUUUAUUGAAGACUAACUACUGCGAAAGCAUUUGCCAAGGAUGUUUUCAUUAAUCAAGAACGAAAGUUAGGGGAUCGAAGACGAUCAGAUACCGUCGUAGUCUUAACCAUAAACUAUGCCGACUAGGAUCGGGCGAUGUUGACAAAAUGACUCGCUCGGCUA
This 514-nucleotide unclassified non-coding RNA is filed under the name uncultured Glomus. Its description in RNAcentral is "bacterial SSU rRNA". It matches the Rfam family "Eukaryotic small subunit ribosomal RNA", at positions 569 to 1086 of the family's 1831-position model. The record is from RNAcentral. RNAcentral also lists the same sequence under 1 other name. Lineage: Eukaryota; Fungi; Glomeromycota; Glomeromycetes; Glomerales; Glomeraceae.